Molecule: non-coding RNA, 129 nt
Filed under: Kosakonia cowanii
Lineage: Bacteria; Pseudomonadati; Pseudomonadota; Gammaproteobacteria; Enterobacterales; Enterobacteriaceae
Description: Moco (molybdenum cofactor) riboswitch
Rfam family: Molybdenum/Tungsten riboswitch aptamer (Moco RNA motif)
Source: RNAcentral
UACACUCAAGCCUCUGCACCUGUGUCGCAAGAUAUGGUGCUUUGGCCGUAGCAGAGCAAUCGCUCUCGCUGCCAGGGUGCAGGAAGAAAUGACUGCAUCUCCCGAAUCUGGAAAGGUGUACAUGGCCUC